Molecule: ribosomal RNA, 207 nt
Filed under: uncultured bacterium
Lineage: Bacteria
Description: partial 16S ribosomal RNA
Rfam family: Bacterial small subunit ribosomal RNA
Source: RNAcentral
AGUGUAGGUGGCCAGGCAAGUCAGAAGUGAAAGCCCGGGGCUCAACCCCGGGACUGCUUUUGAAACUGCAGGGCUAGAGUGCAGGAGGGGCAAGUGGAAUUCCUAGUGUAGCGGUGAAAUGCGUAGAUAUUAGGAGGAACACCAGUGGCGAAGGCGGCUUGCUGGACUGUAACUGACACUGAGGCACGAAAGCGUGGGGAGCAAACA